This 639-nucleotide long non-coding RNA is filed under the name Equus asinus (donkey). RNAcentral's name for it is "lncRNA (ENSEASG00005029570.1)". Lineage: Eukaryota; Metazoa; Chordata; Mammalia; Perissodactyla; Equidae. The record is from RNAcentral.
CAGCCCUUUCAGCUCCGGCUCUGAAUGGCGGUUCUGUGGCCUCGUUGGAGGAACACAGGCGCCUUUUCUGUGUCACUUCCCCCUCACCAGCGGAGCUCCAGAAAUAUGCCACAGCUGACUUCAGGUGAAUCCUUCACUUGGCUGCUGUCCUGUCCCAUGUCUGUAAAGUCGGGAUCUCAACACCAAUAUCACAGGAUGGAGGAGGAUGAGGUGUAUUGAAUGCUGCAUCCGUGUUUAUUGUUUCUCCAGCACCUUCUUGUAUCGGUCAGGACAGGAUAGGUGAGUUGCAGUAACAAACAAGCCCUCAGAUCACAAUGGCUUAACACGGGGAUUGUUUCUCUCUGGUGAUGCAGACCCGGGCUAGACAGGUGCCUCCCUGCACAGGCCCUCCCCAAGGCUGCCUGCACGCUGCUGUCCUGCCAUUUCCAAGUCCUGGGUCAGCCACACAGUCAAGAGAGAGACAGCAUGUGUCUCUCCGAACAGCCUCAGACGAGGAGCACACGGCCGACUCUGCCUAGCAGCCCAGGGGGAGGAGGGGAAACAUGAAACCUUGAAUGUCAGGCUCUGCAGGAAACUCAAAGGUCAUCUAAAACAGGAAAUCCAGCGUGGCCACCCCUUGUGCUCACCUGGAGAGGGUGU